AGAACGAACGCUGGCGGCAUGCCUAACACAUGCAAGUCGAACGCUUCCGGGGCUUCGGUCGCGGAGGAGUGGCGCACGGGUGAGUAGCGCGUGGGAACCUGCCCUGUUGUGGGGGAUAACCGAGGGAAACUUCGGCUAAUACCGCAUACGCCCCGGGACUUGGUCUUCGGAUUAGGUCUGGGGGGAAAGAUUGAUCGCAGCAGGAGGGGCCCGCGUCGGAUUAGCUGGUUGGUGGGGUAACGGCUCACCAAGGCGAUGAUCCGUAGCUGGUCUGAGAGGAUGAUCAGCCACACUGGGACUGAGACACGGCCCAGACUCCUACGGGAGGCAGCAGUGGGGGAAUAUUGGACAAUGGGGGCAACCCUGAUCCAGCAAUGCCGCGUGAGUGAUGAAGGCCUUAGGGUUGUAAAGCUCUUUCGCACGCGACGAUGAUGACGGUAGCGUGAGAAGAAGCCCCGGCUAACUUCGCGCCAGCAGCCGCGGU
RNAcentral lists this ribosomal RNA (484 nucleotides) under uncultured bacterium. RNAcentral's name for it is "SSU rRNA". It matches the Rfam family "Bacterial small subunit ribosomal RNA", at positions 26 to 521 of the family's 1533-position model. The record is from RNAcentral.